GAGGGAGUUAUAAGACCUGCUAACUCUUUAACCUGGGAUUAGUCCCCAGCCCCCUC
This 56-nucleotide transfer RNA is filed under the name Leptodeira splendida (splendid cat-eyed snake). RNAcentral describes it as "tRNA-Ser". The record is from RNAcentral. Lineage: Eukaryota; Metazoa; Chordata; Lepidosauria; Squamata; Dipsadidae.